UCACUUAAUGACAUGAGGAAAUUCUUGUCUUUUAAUGGUAAAUGAAAUAACAAGACAUAACUCUUGACUAUCCUCUGAUUGGAAUUAUAUAUCCUGUCAUGUUAGGGCACUGUAUGGCAUAUAUAGUGAUGAGAUCUCUCUGGGUGCUUCCCUUAAGACUGUCGCCAUGGCUGCCAACAAUUCAACACUUAUGGCCUCAGUCUUUCUGAAGAAAAUAUGGAAUUCAGUAGGAGCCUGAGAAAUGGAUUACCAUGGCAAGGAGGAGGCAGGCAAGGACAUGAGUAUUGGUAUUUAGUGAUGUCCUCUAACCUGGAGUUUUCAGCAUUUUCUUUCUCUGUUUAUGCCUAGAUUCUUGCUUGAGAUGUGCAUCUGAGAAGUAGACAACUUGAUAACCUUGGUAAAUGCUGGAAAUGUAAUGCUUAAUGAACAAGAACAAAACCGACAAUCCAGCUUUCCGAAGCGUAUUGAAUGACAUGACAAGGCUUAUGUGGUUUAGGACCUGAGAAAACCAUGAUGGAAAGAACAACUCAUGUUACAAGGAUAUUUUACAUGUUUCCUGGCUAGAUUCUUGAGAUUUGCACCACAGAAGGAGACAAGUUGAUAACUUGGGAAAAUGGUGGAAUUGUAAUGCUGAAUGAACAAGAAUAAAACUGUCCUAGAUUCUUGAGACUUGCACCCCAGAAGCAGACAACUUGACAACCUGGGUAAAUGCUGGAAAUGUAAUGCUGAAUGAACAAGAACAAAAAUGAGAUUGCAUCGGCCAGGGAAUGGAUGGAAAAACAAAGCAUUAGCACCUUACUAAGUCUCAGGAAUUCAAGGAAGACACCAAGACCAUUAAGAAGAUACUGUACCUGUUGCUAACCCUCAAUACUAUCCAAACUAUGACACUCAUCUCAGAUCAAAAGCUGUUUCAAAAUGAGAAUUUUAAAGGACAACCACCCAGAAAGAAAUGUGGCAAAUGGCUAAGUCACUUCUUUGUAUCAUCAGAGAGUCUCAAAUUCACCAUUACUGAAGUGAAUUGUAGUUCAACAAGCUCUUGCAUAAUGCCCCUCAGUCUUCAUCAUAAACUUGAGCAAGUCCCUUGAGAAUGAAGCCAUUGAAUUCACUGUUUUUGUAUGAUUUAUAGAUUUGGACAAGCUCCUACCAGGUGAGAAAUAUUGUUAUUUUGUUCACUGUUUCAAAGGUCAAUUGGUCAACAUCAGUUAACAUUUGACAUAUCAUACCCUUUGUCCAGAGACUGCCUUCCCAAAGUGAUCACACAGCUAUAUAUAUGUCCGCAGGAAAGUAGAGAGUUGGGGCUAAAGAGGAUCAUUGAAAUUUCUUUUACAAGGGUGAGGUUGGGAAGAAGAAAAGGGUCCAUUUUCCAGAUUCCCUUACGGUAUGGCAUGUAGUCUUUUUAAGCCUUUGGAAAGAUGGUAAUGCAUUCAGCAAGUCUUUAUUAGGGGAACAUUCUACACCCUUAAUUUAGGGAAGAAAAUGCAAAAUGUUCUAACUUUGGGAUUAAACCAUUCUAGUUGCCCAAUAUCAAAAAAUACAAAUGACAAAUUAAGUCUGAUUCUAUCUCUUACAUACAUUGUUAAUUUAUGUUUUAAACAUAAAAAUACGGUUUCAAAAAAGUGAGUCGGCACAAAGGGAUUAUCUAGCAAGUUCCCUACUUUGCAAUUAAUGGUGUGUAAUUUUCUAGAGUGAUAUUUCCAAUGGCUUGCCUUCUAGUUUUAAUAAUACUUGUCUGAAGUCUUGAAAUGUUAAAAAUGAGAAAAGCUACAUUUGAAAUUUUAAAAAGAUCAAGAAACAAACAUCGUCCCAAUAUAUAAUUGAGAAAGUAACAUAUUUCAACAUAUAUUUUUCUUUAAAACAUGUGCAUUUCUACAUACAUGCAAGAUAUAAGGAUUCUCCUUUAAAUUUUUAUGCUACUAGAAUGGUAUUUCCAAUUCUCCUUAACAGAAAAUCAAGCUUUCUGAAAUGUAUUGAAUGACAUGACAAGGCUCAUGUCGCUUAGGACCUGAAAAAACUAUGAUAGAAUGAAGCAACUCAAGUUAAAAGGAUAUUUUACAUGUAUCCUGCCUAGAUUCUUGAGACUUCCACCCCAAAAGCAGACAACUUGAUAACCUGGAUCAAUGCUGGAAAUGUAAUGCUAAAUGAACAAGAACAAAACUGGCCUGUUUUCUUGAGACAUGCACCACAGAAGCAGACAACUUGAUAACCUGGGAAAAUUCCGGAAGAACAAGAACAAAACUGACUUGCCUGGCAGAAGCAGACAACUUGAUAACCUGGGAAAAUGCUGGAAGUGUAAUGCUGAAUGAACAAGAACAAAACUGGCCUAGAUUCUUGAGACUUGCACCACAGAAGCAGACAACUUAAUAACUUGAGUAAAUGCUGGAAAUGUAAUGCUGAAUGAAUAAGAACAAAACUGGCCUGCAUUCUCCAGACUUCUGGGCCAGAAGCAGACAACUUGAUAACCUGGGUAAAUGCUGGAAAUGAUGUAAUGCUGAAUGAACAAGAACAAAACUGGGACACAGGACCUGCCUGAGAUGGAGGCUGUGACAGGACAACAGAGAACACCUGCCACCUGCAAGCAUCAAGUAACAAGAAGUAUCAGUAUGCCACUGAGGGGUGUGUGAGAACCUGGAUAAAGAGACCUUUUCUCAGGCACAGGUUCACAGAGAAGGUAUAAUGCCUUUCAGAAGGGAGAUAGAAACUAUAAGGAAAUGCUAGAAAUAGGAAACAGUAAUAGAAGUGAAGUAUACUUUCAAUGGGUUCAUCAAUAUACUCAAAAUAAUUGACAAAGGGCAGUAGAAAUUACCUAAACUGAAGCAAAAAGAGAAAAAGAAAGAGUUGGGGGAGGGGAACAGUACAAAACACUGAAAACUGUAGGACAGUAUCAAAUGGUCUAACAUAUAGUAAUGUCUCACAAGAGGGAAGGAGAAAAAGAAAUAUUUUUAAAGAUAAUAGUGGAUAAUUUUUUAGAAAUAAUAAAAGACUUCUAAAAAAUAAUUUUUUAAAAAUAAUAAAAAACCAUAGAACUAAUAAACUUAGAAACCCACCCAAGUAGAUUAGAUGCACACAUUCACACACACACACACACAUACAAAAACACAUCAAUAAUCAAACUCUUAAAAACCAAAGAUGAAGAGAAACAUCUAAAAGACUGCUGGACAUAGAAGACAAGAUAGUCCAUGGAGAGGAAUAAAAAUAAGAUUUACAGCAGACUUACGGUCAUACAUUAUUGAAGGUUAUAAGGAAAUGGAGUCGCUUCUUGAUUUACAAUGUUGGAAAACAAAACAGUCGACUCAAAAUUAUUUACCAUGCAAAAUGUCUUUCAAAAUAAGGAAAAGUACUUUUUUUAGACAAAAAUUAAGAGAAUUUAUUAUCAUCAGACAUUCACUACAAUAAAUAUUAAAGACAGCUCUUCAAGAAAAAGGAGCAAAAGGAAUGUGAUACCAGGCAGAAAGUAGGGAUUACACAAAGAAAUGAAGAUUUAUAGAAAUGGUUAAAAUGAAGGUAAACGUGAAGACAUGUUUUAACCUUUUAAUUGUUCUAAAAAAUAUUUGGCUAUUUAGAGGAAAAAUAGUAGCAUAUAUAAAAUUAAGAGGUAUGUCAGCACAAAAGAUGGAAAGAAAUAAUUUAGAGUACAUUGUAAUAAGGUUCUUACACUAGAUGACAAACAGUAUAUUAUUUGAUAUCAGACUGAGAUUCUCUGUAUAUAUUUCUAAAGUCUGAGUAAACCACAUAGAAAUUUUUAAAAGAUAAGUAAUGAAUCAAUAGUAGUGAUAAAACUGGAAUCAUAAAAAAAUAGUCGAUCCAGUAGAAUUUUGCAUAAGAUAAAAAAUGGAACAAAUAGAAUUCAACCAGCAAAGUGACAGAUUAAAUAAUUCAAUAAUAUCAAUAAUUACAUUCAAUGUAGGUGAUCUAAACACUCUAAAAGACAGAUUUUCAGAUUGGAUAAAACAGUAAGAGCCAACUAUAUUCUGGUUACAGAAAAUUUACUUUAACUAUAAAGAUAUAGACAUGUUAAAUAUAAAAUGAUGAAAAAAUAUAUACCGAGCAAAAACUAAUCAGAAGAAAGCCAUAGUGUCUCUAUUAAUCUCAGACAAAGUAGUCUUUAGAAUAAGGAUUAUAGCCAGUGGAAAGAGAGGAAAAUUACAAAAAAGAUGAAAGAGUCAAUUCACCAAGAAUUGGAAACAUUGGAAAUAAUUUGAAAAUUCAAAAUAUAGAUAUGAAUGUGAUUGAAAUCUUAAUAAGGUCCAAAAGUAUGUCCUUAAGAUUCACCAGAAACAGUAUAAUCUUAUAUCUGUUCUAAAAUAGAGAGGCAGAAAUUAGCUCCUCUUGCAAUGAAAGUGAUAGAAACAUGGGAAAAAUAAUUAAUGUACACAAUUAUUUGAUUUAAAAAAUAAACAUAAAGGUACAUUUGGUGCCCCUUGUAGGAUGUGUCAUAAACCAAUAAGAGCUAUAUAGGUCAUAAGAAAAGAAUCUCAGGAAUUGAGCCAAAUAACAGCCUUCCACAAAAAGACUAGUGUCUCCUAGAAAAUGGAGGGAGACUCUUUCGGAAGCUUGGAAGUCAUGUCAAGGACCAUGAAGCCAGGUGACUAGAGUUGGUCUUCUACAGGCCUGGAAUUUCCAGCACUUUCUUCUCCCAUUUAGUCCUGGAAUCCUAAGACUUGUCCCUAGAAGUCAACAUGGUAAGUUGGGAAAAUGCUGAAGAACUAAUGUUGAGUGAAGAAGAGCUGAACUGUGAAGCCAGAGGUCUGGUGGAAAUGUAAUGCUUGAAAAGAACAUGCAAGAUGAGGGUGGGUGGUUUAGGCUUCAUUUUGAUUUUAGAUGGAAAUAGAAAGCAAAAGCAAAGCUACAGGGGUGUAAGUUGAUUUCCUCAAACUGGGCAAGAUAUAAAACACUUUUAUUUCCUGGUGCCUUUGUGUUUUGUUAGCAUUUUUUUUCAGACAGGGAGGGCGGGAGGAGAGGGCAGGGCUGGUUGACAUUUCUGCAGCAUUACUGCCAUCGUGAGGAAGUUGGUUGAUGAAGCACUAAGCCAUGGGUAUUUCCUCCCAGGGACCCGGAAGUUGAGGAAGAUUGGACCUGUGGGGAGGUUGAGAAGCCCCUGGCCCUCAGCACGAUGCCCUUGCCUUCAUCUCUCCUGGCCUUCAGGAGCUGUGGCAAAGGCGUGAUAUAGUUGUAGAAGCUAGCUCUAGUGAGUUACCAGACAUGAACAGGCCGCCGACAGGAAACACAUGCGCAGAAAGUUCUGGAGGUGGAGCUUUUGUGUCCUUCCAGUGCAGGCGGAACUAGAGGAAUCAAUUCACCACCAAGUGCAGGGCUUCUGGUCAUUUGCCUCCUGCCCUUGUUCCAUGAGGUAGAGGAAAACACUCUGGGGCACAGUAUUCUAGCACGUUGGGCCCUGGCCCCCAUUUGGCAGCAGAGUCAGAGUUCAGCGUGUGUGUGGGGGCGCCGGGUUAGGGGUGGAUUCUCACUGUUUAUCUUUGAACAUAUAUUAUAGAGUGCAUACAGAGCUGAGAGGCAACAACUGAUGAUUGACAGAGAGUAUCAUUAGCUCUCAGGAGUGUCUUGGAGAUAUUUGGCAAAGUAUGCCUUAAUGAUCCUGGUACCUUGUGAAGGGGAAAUGUGGCUACUGACCUGCUGACAUGAUUCAGAUAAAACCAAAAGAAGAAAGCCAGAACCAGAUAAGUUAGGGUACCUGCCUUGGAGCCACUUUUGGACUUGGUCAUAUGCUUGAAGUAGGGUAGACAAAUGUAUGGAGACAGAAUUGUGGACGAUACUACAGGUGGCAUCAGCUCAGGAAUUCCUCAGGCCCUGUAAUGUUGUGUUGGCCUCACCUCACCUCAGCUGUACUUAAUAUAGGCCAAAUGGCCUUACAGUGGAUAGAAGCCUAAGGCAAUAGCUCCUAGCUGAAUUUCAAUGUUUCAGAUGUAGUAAGAACAGCAAAAGAAGAAACCACAAGCAACUGUUGUCGGUGUUUACUGCCUUUCAACCACUGACAUCCAUCACAGAUCAUCAGUUGUUCCAAAAUGAAAAAGUUAAGAACAACAGUUCAGCAAGAAAGGGGGAAAGAAACCAGGUACAAACUAACCAGAAGAAAAAAUGGUCAUGGAAAAAGUCCAUUUGUAGAGGUUCUCAAAUUCACUAAUAUUCAAGUAGAUUACAAUUCAACAAAUUCUCAAUUAUGCUUCCCCCACCAGUGUUUCCCUCAGUGAGCUGCUGAACACGGAACCACUGAUAUUAUCAAAUUUAUGUGAUCAUUUGCAGAAUUGGACAAGUUCUUACAAGAUGGGAAGCAUUGUCAAUUGGUUUAACUCUUUGGAGGGCAAUUUGUGUGCAUCAGUUAACCUUUUACAUGACAUACUUUUUGUCCAAAAGACUCUGCCUUUCAAAAGUGAUCACAGGGCCACAUUCCCAUAGGAGGAAAGAGAGUAACGACAAGUAGGUUCAUUGAGUUUUCCUUUGCAAUGUUGGACAGUAGGGAGAGGCAAAGGACCUUUCUUGAAUAGAUUGAAUCUCACAUGGUUCAGGUACACCAAGUAGUCUUCUUAAGUCCUUGUAAAGACCGAAUUCCAUUCACUAUAUCCUGAUCAGGAACAGUAUCCUACACCUUUAAUUAAGGGUUAAAGCAAAUUAUUGGAUCUUUGCGAUCAAACCAUCCUAGUUUACUCGUAAAAGAAAACAGGGAAAAAUAAAGUCUUUCUCUGCUUAUUCCAUGUAUGAUUAUCAUAAGUUGAAUACCUAAAUGUAUAUAUAUUUGGAGAGUGAAUAUGAACAAGAGAAAUCUUCUAACAUAAUUAUUACUGUAUCUACCUUUCUGGAGUAAUUUUCCUAAGAUCAUGUCAUAAAGUAUUAACUUUAUAUAUGCCUGAAAGUUUGAAAUAUUAAAGCAAGUUUUACAUUUAAAAUGAGGAAACCAAGGUAUACCUCUCAGCUUUCGGUAUAUGAAUCUGUUUCUCUAAAAGUUGUACAUAGCUCUGUUUAUAUAUGGAAAUGAAAAAGGUCACUUUUUAUGGUGAAGAAAAAAAUCUUUAAGCAAAUUUCUAAGUAACACACAUUCCCAUCAUGAGAAGGAUACUUAAUGACCAGUAAGGUGGCCUUAUAAUACCAAGCCUGGGAAAAAUAUGAUAGAAGGAAAAAACUCAAAACCCAAGGAGAUCCCCAUACUAUGUAGAAGUCUAAAGUCAUACCAGCAAACCUGUGGGCUCUCAUGCACACACAUUUAUACAAAUAUUCUAAUCAAAUAGAUUUAGAAUAGAGAACAGAAGACCAAAAUGCUAAUGCUUUUUUCCAUGGACUGCUCAACAUUUUCUCUAAGGGGUCAUAUAGUGAGAUCAUCUCUUAAACAGAAGAGUGGCACUAAAAGAGGCAAGGAUUCUGGAGGUCCUGCUGUGCUCAACUCCCUUCCAAAGAAGGACAUUUUGUCAGGCCUACAAGGAAUGUUCUUCAGUUAAAAAAUUAAGGAGUAAGCACAGAAAACAACACAGGUAGUCCCUGGGUUACGGACAAGAUAUGUUCCUGAGAACAUCUUUAGGUCAGAUUUGUAUGUAACUCAGAUCCCUGAUGAACAGUGCAUAUAUGAUGAUAAUAAUAAUAGUUAUAAUACUAUAAUGGCUCACAUGUGGUAAUAAUACAGUAUAAUACUAUGUUAAUAAUACCCUAUGGUAUAAUAAGUUACAGAAACUAUUGUGUUCUUUUAAUUCAAUCAAACAGAACAUAAAAACAAACACAUUUAAAAAGCUUAGAUAGGAGAUAGGAGAAAUUUCUAAAAACGGUAUUAAAGGUUAACACUCACCUAAUAUUGCACCAAUGCUAGGCUAACAGGAAUGUUACACUUAGUUUGAUAUUCUAACGAAAUCAAUAAUAACUUUUCCAUUUCAAUAAUCAAUCUACUAAAUUGCUUAGUAAUUGCUGCUUUCAUUGGAGCACUGCCUUUCAUAUGUUCCAUUAUUCUCACUUUAUAAUUGUUCUUAUAGUUCAGCAACUGAAGGUUAAUGCUUUCCCAAUGAAUGAUGGCAUCUGGGCUUUCUCUGAAUGCUCAAGUAUUUCUACUUUCUUAGAAGUACAGAGACACUUUGUGCCAUCUCAACUGCCUCAUGGUCCAAGGGACAGGGCCCAAAGACAAAUGCCUGGAAGCUCUGCAUAGACUUUGAGUGAUUUUCUCUAGUCUUGCCCACAGUAAGAAGAAACCAGAGCCCUGCACCAGUCCUGGCCCCUCACUCAGCAGCUUCUUCACUAGGUUUCUUCCUUUAUCCUGAGCUCCUGGAAAGCAUAAGAGUGGAAGUAAAGGAGGCUCAGCUUGGGGUCAGGGCCCAUGCAGCCUUUGAAUUUGCCAGACCUUUCUCAACCUUUAGAUCUAACGACCAACUUUGGCUUUUGUGAAACUAUUGCCUCGUGAUGGCAGUAUGACUCCAGAAAAGUUAAGUAGCCCUGCCCCCAUGCCCUCUUCUCCCGCCCGUCCAAUCUGAAAAAAAUGCCACCAAGACAAAGGAGCUAGGAAACAUGGCUGCCUUGUAUCUUGACCAAUUUGAAGAAACUUGCUCAUACUGCUGCACUUUUGCUUUUAGUUUUUACAUAAAAUCAAACUGAAGUCUAAUACUACCCACCCUCAACAGGCAUCUUUUCUUUUCAAUAAUAACAUUUUUUUGUAGACCACGGCUUCACAGAUUUCCUCUUCUUCAGUCAACAUUAGACCAGUAGGACAUUUUGUAUUUUCAAGUUUUCUGAUACAGUUCAAGUGUCAGGGAUCCAUACAUGAAGAAAAAAAUGCUGUACUGAAAGCUGUGUGAGGCUAUCUGUAGCCAUUAGACCUUGUGGUCUUUGACUUGGCUCCUUUCCCGGGCUUCUGUGGACUACUCCAUUUUCUGGCUCACAUAUUUUAGAAAGUAAACAAAAUGGCAUCCUUCUUUUUAAAUGUAUUUACAAAUGAAGAGCUCACUAGUAUAUAUUU
Molecule: non-coding RNA, 8941 nt
Organism: Microcebus murinus (gray mouse lemur)
Lineage: Eukaryota; Metazoa; Chordata; Mammalia; Primates; Cheirogaleidae
Source: RefSeq, a predicted model, not a curated record